AUUGAACGCUGGCGGCAUGCUUUACACAUGCAAGUCGAACGGUAACAGGCCGCAAGGUGCUGACGAGUGGCGAGCGGGUGAGUAAUGCAUCGGAACGUGCCCAGUCGUGGGGGAUAACUACUCGAAAGAGUAGCUAAUACCGCAUACGAUCUAUGGAUGAAAGCGGGGGACCGUAAGGCCUCGCGCGAUUGGAGCGGCCGAUGUCAGAUUAGGUAGUUGGUGGGGUAAAGGCUCACCAAGCCAACGAUCUGUAGCUGGUCUGAGAGGACGACCAGCCACACUGGGACUGAGACACGGCCCAGACUCCUACGGGAGGCAGCAGUGGGGAAUUUUGGACAAUGGGCGCAAGCCUGAUCCAGCAAUGCCGCGUGCAGGAAGAAGGCCUUCGGGUUGUAAACUGCUUUUGUACGGAACGAAACGGCUCUGGUUAAUACCCGGGGCUAAUGACGGUACCGGAAGAAUAAGCACCGGCUAACUACGUG
RNAcentral lists this ribosomal RNA (482 nucleotides) under uncultured bacterium. RNAcentral's name for it is "partial 16S ribosomal RNA". It matches the Rfam family "Bacterial small subunit ribosomal RNA", at positions 30 to 507 of the family's 1533-position model. The record is from RNAcentral.